Molecule: transfer RNA, 77 nt
Filed under: Chloroflexota bacterium
Lineage: Bacteria; Bacillati; Chloroflexota
Description: Chloroflexi bacterium tRNA-Pro
Rfam family: tRNA
About the family: Transfer RNA (tRNA) molecules are approximately 80 nucleotides in length. Their secondary structure includes four short double-helical elements and three loops (D, anti-codon, and T loops).
Source: RNAcentral
CGGGGAGUGGCGCAGCUUGGCAGCGCGCUUCGUUUGGGACGAAGAGGUCCCGGGUUCGAAUCCCGGCUCCCCGACCA